GACAGAGGUGCCGAGCGUUAGGCGGAAUCACUGGGCUUAAAGCGUGUGUAGGCGGACCGUUAAGUACCUUGUGAAAUCCCCCGGCUCAACCGGGGAACGGCUGGGUAUACUGGCGGUCUUGAGCCAUCCAGGGGCAGUCGGAACAGACGGUGGAGCGGUGAAAUGCGUAGAUAUUCGGAAGAACACCAGUGGCGAAGGCGACUUACUGGACACGUAUUGACGCUGAGGUGCGAAAGCGUGGGGAGCAAACAGG
This 253-nucleotide ribosomal RNA is filed under the name uncultured bacterium. RNAcentral describes it as "partial 16S ribosomal RNA". It matches the Rfam family "Bacterial small subunit ribosomal RNA", at positions 524 to 776 of the family's 1533-position model. The record is from RNAcentral.